CCUACGGGAGGCAGCAGUGAGGAAUAUUGGUCAAUGGACGAGAGUCUGAACCAGCCAAGUAGCGUGAAGGAUGACUGCCCUAUGGGUUGUAAACUUCUUUUAUAAAGGAAUAAAACGAGGCACGUGUGCCUUUUUGCAUGUACUUUAUGAAUAAGGAUCUGCUAACUCCGUGCCAGCAGCCGCGGUAAUACGGAGGAUCCGAGCGUUAUCCGGAUUUAUUGGGUUUAAAGGGAGCGUAGAUGGGUUGUUAAGUCAGUUGUGAAAGUUUGCGGCUCAACCGUAAAAUUGCAAUUGAUACUGGCAGUCGUGAGUACAGUUGAGGUAGGCGGAAUUCGUGGUGUAGCGGUGAAAUGCUUAGAUAUCACGAAGAACCCCGAUUGCGAAGGCAGCUUACUAAACUGUGACUGACAUUGAUGCUCGAAAGUGUGGGUAUCAAACAGGAUUAGAUACCCGAGUAGUC
This 460-nucleotide ribosomal RNA is filed under the name uncultured bacterium. RNAcentral's name for it is "partial 16S ribosomal RNA". It matches the Rfam family "Bacterial small subunit ribosomal RNA", at positions 338 to 795 of the family's 1533-position model. The record is from RNAcentral.